GGCUCAGAGACGACCCAAACUGCAAAUUUGGAGAAGAACUUUGGUUCCUGGGUCU
This 55-nucleotide transfer RNA is filed under the name Calotes versicolor. RNAcentral describes it as "tRNA-Cys". Lineage: Eukaryota; Metazoa; Chordata; Lepidosauria; Squamata; Agamidae. The record is from RNAcentral.